RNAcentral lists this unclassified non-coding RNA (329 nucleotides) under soil metagenome. Its description in RNAcentral is "partial contains 5.8S ribosomal RNA, internal transcribed spacer 2, and large subunit ribosomal RNA". The stretch from base 1 to 120 matches the Rfam family "5.8S ribosomal RNA", at positions 35 to 154 of the family's 154-position model. The record is from RNAcentral.
GAUGAAGAACGCAGCGAAAUGCGAUAAGUAAUGUGAAUUGCAGAAUUCAGUGAAUCAUCGAAUCUUUGAACGCACAUUGCGCCCCCUGGUAUUCCGGGGGGCAUGCCUGUCCGAGCGUCAUUACAACCCUCAGGCUCAGCUUGGUAUUGGGCCCCGCCGACCCGGCGGGCCCUAAAGUCAGUGGCGGUGCCGUCCGGCUCCGAGCGUAGUAAUUCUUCUCGCUCUGGAGGUCCGGUCGUGUGCUCGCCAGCAACCCCCAAUUUUUUUCAGGUUGACCUCGGAUCAGGUAGGGAUACCCGCUGAACUUAAGCAUAUCAAUAAGCGGAGGA